AAGUUCCUUUUUUUGUAGAUCUUGACCCGAACCAAUCAGCAAACCCUAUUUUUGCUUUCUUCUUCAUUCAUACACUCCAAAGAUAAUCUUGGUCGUCUCUUACUUUGCAUCCUUUCAGAUUCAACGUCUAUCUGUCAUGAAACCGUUAUCUCUAGCAAUAUCAGUUCUUGCCUGCGUAACCCUCAGUCUGAGAAACAACAGUUGGAUAUUUUAUCUACAUUGGCGGAUGGAAACUUUGUCUCGACUUUGCUAGCGCUCCAUAUGUGAGUCCCUUAAACUACAUAAUUUUAUAUUACUUGAAUCACAUUUUUGUUAUCUACACAUUUAGGUGUUUCUAGAUGGUGGUUUGAAACAACAGGGAACGGGUAGAUGCUCUUUUAUCUCUUGAACAUACCUUUUUUUGAUGGCAAGUUUUCUAUAUAUCGGACAAGAAAGUUUUACGUCAAUCUGACCUAUACCAAAGGUAACCCGCUUUGACCCAUUACUUAACUCACCUAUUUUCAGCCUGUUUUGUUUUUCCAUUUGAUUCUCAAUAUGAGUAAACAAAUGACAGUUUUAACAUAUAAUCUGUUGAGAUUUGAAAGGUAGUUCUCUUUGCAUGAUUUUACCAUAAUUCGUUCAUUUUUUUGUGUAUACAAGCUGCAGAAUUUCUAUAAUUGUUUGCAUCAUUGUUGAUCCGGGAUGGCCUAAAUGGUCAUGCCAUAUGAUAAAAUUUUCUUGGUCUAUUAACUUCUUGUUUAUGACUGCAUUUGAUUCGAUUGCAUCAAUUUUAGUAUAAUACAAACCAGAGGCAAGUGCUCGCAACUUUUCUAACACAUGCUUUUUACCCGAACUGAUAUUUGUGAUAUGAAGGUACUCAUCAUGUCCCUCGGAUGUAGUCUCAAGAUGAUAUCCGUUUAAACGAACAUCUUUAAAACUUAUUAGAUUCCUUUGAGACAAUGGGGAAAAUAAUGCAUUGAUUAUUUUAAAUGGUGUUCCACCUAGCAACACUACAUAAGCUUCUCCAAAGCCUUCAAUUAAUUUUGAUUGCUAGAUAUAGUACCAACAUUUGCCUUUAGCAUAGUUAAAUUAGAGAAAUAAUUCUUUUUCUUAAGAAUUGUAUACGUAGAUGCGCUGUCUAUUAGACAUAUAUCUUCUCUAUUAAUAGGGAUCUUAGUUAAACACUCCAUAUGCUACAAAAACAAAACAAAAUCAUAUAAAUAAAAUGUCUAACAUGCUUCAAACAUAAAAAAAAAUCCCAAGAUGUUUCAUACGCAUCAAAACAAAACAAAAUAGAAUCUCAAAAUGUCUUAAAGAAAUGAAGGAAAUAACAUCACUUAAAAGCUAAUAAUUCAUAUGUAAGGAAAAUUGCAAGCAUCCAACUGGGUUGUAUUGCCACGAUAUCACCAGAAUCCAAGUUAGUUAACUCAAUAAGGAAAUCAUCAUAAUCCAGAUUAGUUGUAUCAUUAUGGUGUUUAUGACCAUCAGUGACAUCAACAUUUGCAACCUCAUAUGUAAAAUUUGUCUCUAUUCCUUUUGCUUUUUCUUUGAUGGAUUGUUGAUAAAGUUCCACCAAGUGUUUAGACGUACGGCAAGUCUUCGACCAAUGAUUGUUACUUCCACAUCGGUAACAUGCAUUCAAUGAAGAUCCGAUCUUCUUUUUAUUUUUUUCAUCACUAGAUUUAUUUUCAUUAUUAUGCCACUUUUGGUGGGUCCCUUUGUUUUUAAACCGAGCACUAUGAUAAUUUCAUGAUAUUGUUGUUGUAGUAUCACAUUCGAGGGGUGAAAGGUUAACAUUGUUUUCUCCAACAUUUCCUUAUCAGUAAUAUUUUCAGCACAUAGAAUCAGUUGUGAUAUGAUUCUAAACGUUUUCGAGUGGUACUCGCUAAUCGACUUAAAGUCUUGAAACCUUAAAUUGAUCCACUCGUAACGAGCACUCGGUAAUAUUACCAUUUUCUGGUGGUCAUACCUUUCUUUCAGGUUGGUAUAAAGGACAAGGGAUCCUUGAUAGUGAGGUACUCACUUUUCAAAGCCUCAUGAAUAUGAUGAAUAUAAUGGCAUAAAAGAUCAUGGCUUUUGCCUAAUCUUGGGUAUUUGCUUUAUUUCCUUCUUUAAUUGUUUCACCCAGAUUAUUGGCAUUCAAAUGUAUUUCAGCAUCCAAUACCCAUGACAAAUAGUUUUCCGAGUUCAUAAAUUCAAGCUUUGCAAGAUUUGUCAUGGUAGAACUAUAUUGUAAAAAAAACAUAUUAAUUAGUACAUAUCAAACUUAAACAACAUAUAUAUACAACGAUGAUUAUUGAGACAACAAUAUUACCUAUUACAAUAAUAAAAUAAUUUAGAUUUCAUAUACUUUUCAAAACAUCAUAUAUGUUCACGACGAAUUAAUUAUGUUAAAUAUACUUUGUGUGUAUAGAUAUAUAAUAUAUUAGAAUUAAGAAAGUUCUGUAACAUGAUAAUUUAUUUACAUUAAAAGAGAAUGUAAAAGAACUAUUGUUUGUUUACGCAUAUGUCAGAGGACCUCAUAAUAAAAGAAAAUGUAAAUUUUUUUUGAUGGUCCUAGUAAUGUGUAUCUAAUCUUAAUAGAAGGUUCCAACAAAAUGCUACGUGGCAACUCUACAUCUCUCCUCACUAAAACCCCUAUGACCCGAAAGUUCCUUUUUUGUAGAUCUUGACCCGAACCAAUCAGCAAACCCUAUUUUUGCUUUCUUCUUCAUUCAUACCCUCCAAAGAUAAUCUUGGUCGUCUCUUACUUUGCAUCCUUUCAGAUUCAACAUUUAUCUGUCAUGAAACCGUUAUCUCCAGCAAUAUCAGUUCUUGCCUGCGUAACCCUCAGGUAAUAGAUUUCAAGUUUCUGUUAAAUGUAGUAAGGGUUUUUGGUUUCUAAAUCAAACACCGUAUCUUGCGUUGUCUCACUUUUAAUUCCCUAAACAAACAUAUUCUACCGGUAGCAAUAACUUCAAUUCCGGAUUGCGUUAUGGUACUUGCCUGGCAGUGGCAAUACACGGCCCAGAUGCGUUCGUGUUCAACCUCUCAGCAGUAUUUCUAAGGUUGUCAUCGGUUUUAUGUUAUUUAGGGUUUAAAUUGUGAAGAUUGAUAGGAUUGGUGUUACACUCUGUUUCACGUUUUGAAACAGGUCCUUUUAAAUUUGUACACAUGACUAGCAACUCUUAAUUUGUUGGUAUUUUAUGCAAAAGAAAAAACAUUAUUAUAUGUAGUUUGAUACCAUUUCUAUGCGUAGUCUGAGAAACAACAGUUGGAUAUUUUAUCUACAUUGGCGGAUGGAAACUUUGUCUCGACUUUGCUAGCGCUCCAUAUUCAGUGAAGCUUUUGCAUGGGCAGGGCUUAAGUCAUCUAAACUUAUUUUUGGUAUCGACUUCACCAAGACCAGUGAAUGGACAGAUAAUAUUAUAGUUUUCGAGAGUUUUUUUUUUAAUUACUUUACCCAAGUGGUUAUGGUAAGCAAUAUUUUUCUAUAGUUCCAAGUUGAAGUGGAACAUUCUUUUAACAACAAGCUUCUGAUAUCAAUUGUGUUACAUGGAGUUGGUGAUGGGUCGUGGGACACAAUGAAGGAAUUUGAUGAUAAUAUUCAUUCUUGCAGCUUUAACAGUUUCUAGGUAUAAAAUCAAUAUUACUUAUAGAGGUGAUAAUUUCCACCUAUCUAUUUAGAUUCUGUUUAUCUUAUACUUAUAGAGGUGGCAAUUUCCAUCUAUCUAUUUGGAACUGAAAAAAAGAGAACGGGUCAAAUAAAAUAAGUUGAGAGUUAUGAUCGUUUUAUAAUUCUUAAAAAAACUAUUAGUAAGUAUAUACACAAUACAUUUAUUCAACCCAUGUAAUAUAAUAAUAUUCAUGAAUUAGAUUACUAUUAUUGAAAUUACAUAGUUUAUAAUCCUACUUAAGACAAAAUAUUUACAAGUUUUCUAUAUAUCGGACAAGAAAGUUUUACGUCAAUCUGACCUGUACCAAAGGUAACCCGCUUUGACCCAUUACUUAACCCACCUAUUUUCAGCCUGUUUUGUUUUUCUAUUUGAUUCUCAAUAUGAAUAAAGUAAACAAAUGACAGUUUUAACAUAUAAUCUGUUGAGAUUUGAGAGGUAGUUCUCUUUGCAUGAUUUUACCAUAAUCGUUCAUUUUUUGUGUAUACAAGCUACAGAAUUUCUUUGAAGAAAUGAAUAUGAAACGUAAAAGGCCUUUGAUGACUUGACAAAUCAGGACACUAAUUAUGAUAUAAAGGUUGUAUUGAACAUGUGUAAUACACGGGUCUAUAAAAUUAUCUUAAACAAUUUAGAGAUUUGUGAAUGGUAAUAUUGUAAGUUAGUAUUUUAUUAUUGUAUAUGUAAUGUUAUUUGUAACUCCAGCAAGAUAAGGUAUAUAUAUAUUUUGUAUUUAUAUGAUUUUUUAUAAGGGUGCACCCCGUGUAGU
Molecule: long non-coding RNA, 4398 nt
Organism: Helianthus annuus (common sunflower)
Lineage: Eukaryota; Viridiplantae; Streptophyta; Magnoliopsida; Asterales; Asteraceae
Exons: 3
Source: RefSeq, a predicted model, not a curated record